Pelobates cultripes (western spadefoot toad) is the source of this 157-nucleotide non-coding RNA. The record is from the annotation of a GenBank genome assembly. NCBI's taxonomy places the organism in Eukaryota, Metazoa, Chordata, Amphibia, Anura, Pelobatidae.
GCAGACACAUUCCAGCCAAUCAGCAGCAGACCCUCCCUCCGAGACCCUCCCACCUCCUGGACAGCAUCCAUUUUGAAGCUGCAUUCUUAGUGAGCUGUCCAGGAGGUGGGAGGGUCUGGGAGGGAGGGUCUGCUGCUGAUUGGCUGGAAUUUGUCUG